CCUACGGGAGGCAGCAGUGAGGAAUCUUGCGCAAUGGGCGAAAGCCUGACGCAGCGACGCCGCGUGGGGGAUGAAGGUCUUCGGAUUGUAAACUCCUGUUAAGUGGGAAGAAAAGCUUAAUUAUAAUACAAUUAAGUCAUGACGGUACCAUUAGAGAAAGCACCGGCUAACUUCGUGCCAGCAGCCGCGGUAAUACGAGGGGUGCAAGCGUUAUUCGGAAUCAUUGGGCGUAAAGGGUGCGUAGGCGGCGCAUUAAGUCAACUGUUAAAUUCCUCGGCCUAACUGAGGGCUCGCAGUAGAAACUGAUGUGCUAGAGGAUGGAAGAGAGAAGUGGAAUUCUCGGAGUAGCGGUAAUAUGCGUAGAUCUCGAGAGGAACACCGAUGGCGAAGGCAGCUUCUUGGUCCAUUUCUGACGCUGAGGCACGAAAGCGUGGGGAGCAAACAGGAUUAGAUACCCUGGUAGUCCACGCUGUAAACGAUGAUCACUAGACGUUAGUCUUGCUUUUGCAAGAUUAGUGUCGUAGCUAACGCGUUAAGUGAUCCGCCUGGGGACUACGGUCGCAAGACUAAAACUCAAAGGAAUUGACGG
Molecule: ribosomal RNA, 589 nt
Filed under: uncultured Candidatus Babelota bacterium
Lineage: Bacteria
Description: bacterial SSU rRNA
Rfam family: Bacterial small subunit ribosomal RNA
Source: RNAcentral